Molecule: transfer RNA, 72 nt
Filed under: Candidatus Pacearchaeota archaeon CG10_big_fil_rev_8_21_14_0_10_30_48
Lineage: Archaea; Nanobdellati
Description: tRNA-Val
Rfam family: tRNA
About the family: Transfer RNA (tRNA) molecules are approximately 80 nucleotides in length.
Source: RNAcentral
GGUCCUGUGGUCCAGUGGUUAAGACUCAUCCUUGACGUGGAUGUAACCCAAGUUCAAUUCUUAGCAGGACCA